Molecule: ribosomal RNA, 306 nt
Filed under: uncultured Methylotenera sp.
Lineage: Bacteria; Pseudomonadati; Pseudomonadota; Betaproteobacteria; Nitrosomonadales; Methylophilaceae
Description: bacterial SSU rRNA
Rfam family: Bacterial small subunit ribosomal RNA
Source: RNAcentral
AUUGAACGCUGGCGGAAUGCUUUACACAUGCAAGUCGAACGGUAACAGCAGAGCUUGCUCUGGCUGACGAGUGGCGGACGGGUGAGUAAUAUAUCGGAACGUGUCCAAUAAUGGGGGAUAACUAGCCGAAAGGUUGGCUAAUACCGCAUACGCCCUGAGGGGGAAAGCUGGGGAUCUUCGGACCUGGCGUUAAUGGAGCGGCCGAUACCUGAUUAGCUAGUAGGUGGGGUAAAAGCCUACCUAGGCAACGAUCAGUAGCUGGUCUGAGAGGACGACCAGCCACACUGGGACUGAGACACGGCCCAG